This is a non-coding RNA of Pelobates cultripes (western spadefoot toad), 966 nucleotides long. The record is from the annotation of a GenBank genome assembly. NCBI's taxonomy places the organism in Eukaryota, Metazoa, Chordata, Amphibia, Anura, Pelobatidae.
CUCCCUUGGUAAACUCAUCACCUCCUUUGGCCUCCAAUAUCACUUCUAUGCGGAUGACACGCAAAUCUAUCUGUCCUCCCCUAAUUUCUUACCACUCAUCUUGACUCGUGUCUCUUACUGCCUCUCUGUGAUUUCCAGCUGGAUGGCUGCUCACUACUUAACCUGUCCAAAACAGAACUUCUUUUAAUUCCUUCCUCAAUUGUUAAAACAUGCUAAUCCCAUGUCCGUCUCCCUCCAAAUCAAUGGCACUCACAGGCUCGCUGCCUAGCUCGCUGCCUCUUUGACUCCAACCUCUCCUUCACCCUCAUGUCCAGUCACUCACCAAAUCCUACUGUUUGUAUCUCAAAAACAUAGCACACAUCUGCUCCUAUCUAACACCGGUGAUCUUCUUAGCUUGCCCCGUUACAGUCUAUAAUGAAUGCAGCGGUGAGGCUUAUAUUCCUGUCCGCCUUCACCUCCCAUGCCUCCCCCUCUGUUAGCCCUGACACUGGCUUCCGGAAGAUUUAGAGCUCAAUUUAAGCAAUGUUUGCUUACAAACCUCUACAUAACACUGCUCCUACCUACCUAUCCAUACUGAUACACAAAUAUAGGGCCUUAUGCUUUGCUGAAGAUCUGCGUCUAUUCUCUGUUCGUACUCGCACCUCUGAUGCCCACCCUUAAGAUUUCUCUAGGACUGCGCCGUUCCUAAUGAACUCCCUUCCCUGCUCUGUUAGACUCUCAUCGAGUUUUAGUUCCUUCAAAAGAUCAUUAAAAACUCACAUCUUUAGAAAAGCUUGUCAAUUGCUUUACUCUCUCCUCCAACUCUGCUUCACUCCCACCCUAUUUGAUUGAUAUUUCCUGUCCUAACAUACCCCACCUCCUAUAGACUGUAAGCUCGUUUGAGCAGUGUCCUCUUCAACCUAUUGUUCCUGUAAGUUUUCUUGUAAUUGACCUAUUUAUAGUUACAUCCCCCCUCUCAUAAUAUUG